This 567-nucleotide long non-coding RNA is filed under the name Gadus morhua (Atlantic cod). Its description in RNAcentral is "lncRNA (ENSGMOG00000036579.1)". Lineage: Eukaryota; Metazoa; Chordata; Actinopteri; Gadiformes; Gadidae. The record is from RNAcentral.
AUGGAUACGGCGUGUGGCGAGGGGGCUUGGCGCCACGGUGCGGUGGCGGCGGCAGCGACCAUGCGGAGGGGGAGCUACGACGACUCGGCGGUGUCCCUCCGACCGCACCUUCGAACCCUGGCUCACAGACGACGCUCCGCGCCUGCCCUGGCCUUCGAGAGGGCCCUGGGAAUGCCCUGGUCUCCAAUCAGGGAGGAGGCGUCCUGCUGGUCAAGCCUGGACCAGUGUCCCUUUGUCCUGGGCCUCAGCAGUGAGAACGGGGAGCUGCUGCUGGACCAGCUCGUCCAGGUCACUGAGGGCAACCAGACCAAGGAGAGACACCUGUUCCUCUUCAACGACGUACUCGUCUUCGCUAAGCUGAAGUGAGUGUGUGGAUUUAUAACAAACUGAAAUUCAAGUUAGUUAUAAAUUCGUAAUUUCAUGCACAGGCCUAAAGUCUGGAUAACAAAAUCUAAGUGUCCUGCAAACACUUGCUAUGCUUGCCCCCUCCCCAACAAUUUGUAGGAGUAAUGUAGUCUCUAGCGUUUUCAAGGAAGUUGGCCUCGGGACGUGAGAAGCGAAAACGGU